This 514-nucleotide ribosomal RNA is filed under the name uncultured bacterium. Its description in RNAcentral is "bacterial SSU rRNA". It matches the Rfam family "Bacterial small subunit ribosomal RNA", at positions 28 to 524 of the family's 1533-position model. The record is from RNAcentral.
GACGAACGCUGGCGGCGUGCCUAAUACAUGCAAGUCGAGCGGACCAAAGGGAGCUUGCUCCUGGAGGUUAGCGGCGAACGGGUGAGUAACACGUGGGCAACCUGCCUGUAAGACUGGGAUAACAUCGAGAAAUCGGUGCUAAUACCGGAUAAUAAAAAGAACUGCAUGGUUCUUUUUUGAAAGAUGGUUUCGGCUAUCACUUACAGAUGGGCCCGCGGCGCAUUAGCUAGUUGGUGAGGUAACGGCUCACCAAGGCAACGAUGCGUAGCCGACCUGAGAGGGUGAUCGGCCACACUGGGACUGAGACACGGCCCAGACUCCUACGGGAGGCAGCAGUAGGGAAUCUUCCGCAAUGGACGAAAGUCUGACGGAGCAACGCCGCGUGAGUGAUGAAGGUUUUCGGAUCGUAAAACUCUAGUUGUUAGGGAAGAACAAGUGCCGUUCGAAAGGGCGGCACCUUGACGGUACCUAACGAGAAAGCCACGGCUAACUACGUGCCAGCAGCCGCGGUAAA